GGGAGCUUAGAUGUGGAAGCUCUUUGGAAACCAAGAAACACUCUGAAAAUGAAAAGGGAUCUCAACUUUUCUCUUCCCGCUCCAGCUGCACUAUGUAUCCGUGCUUGGCUCUCAGUUGUUGGAUUCUCAUGUCUCCUUUUUCACAGUGGCUCAGGUGGAAGAGUAAACUGUUCCUGUUUCUCCAUCUUGACAGGAAGCAGAAGUUCUCCUUAGCUGAUUUUUCUUCUUGCCUUAUACUGGGUUCUUUAACACCAGAACAAAAAUAAAUAAAUAAAAGAAUCUUCCAGAAAUUCAUGAAGAGACUUCAGGUCAGGAAAGCCUGAACUUUCUCAUCCAACACCCGUUCAAGUCGGAGGAUGCUGAUUAAUUCAUGAUGGAAAGGUAUCAAUUUCACAGCCCAGACCUCUACAUUCUUGAAAUGCUCUUCUCAUGGGAGACAUUAAAUAAGCUUUGAAUUAACUUAAGCCCUUAAGUAAAAGUGCCAUCAAAUGAUUUCUCAGAAAUUAUAAAGAAACAAAAGGACCAUAAACAAGAUAAGGUGGCAUGAGGAAACAUUACAAGUACCUUUCAGAGCUGACUGGCAAAGAAACUCCUGAGGUGACGG
Molecule: long non-coding RNA, 604 nt
Filed under: Homo sapiens (human)
Lineage: Eukaryota; Metazoa; Chordata; Mammalia; Primates; Hominidae
Description: SATB1 antisense RNA 1
Source: RNAcentral